UAACCUCUGGCGACAAUCGUGAAUGUUG
Molecule: non-coding RNA, 28 nt
Filed under: unclassified sequences
Description: L19-Flavobacteria ribosomal protein leader
Rfam family: L19-Flavobacteria ribosomal protein leader
Source: RNAcentral